Molecule: long non-coding RNA, 1953 nt
Organism: Scylla paramamosain (green mud crab)
Lineage: Eukaryota; Metazoa; Arthropoda; Malacostraca; Decapoda; Portunidae
Exons: 3
Source: RefSeq, a predicted model, not a curated record
GUAUUUUCUCCAUCUUAUGGCAGCAUAUAUUUUCAACACAGAGUGAGGGCAGUGUCAUUCCUCCUGUCCACUACCCCAACUUCUACUCCCAACACUACCACAACAAUGAGCGGUCUGGUGUGGUGGCUGAGGAUUCUUUUGAAGAGGACAAUGCUUCUGCUUCAUCUGAGCAGCUUGAAGCUGCCUGCAGAAAUAGGCAAAACAGCAACUGACGAAAGAAUAAAGUUGAAGGAAACUGGAGUUUCCCUGCAAAACAAGCUAUCAAGAAGACCUAUACAAUGUGUGUUCAAAGUGUCUGGCUAAGAGUUGGAGAUCUGGCAGAGAAGCUGUGGCCAGAGGAAGGAGGCUUGGCUGCUGCACCAGACCCAUAGACCACAUCUUUGGAGUGGCUAAUGUUGCUAUUUUUAAUCCUGUUCUAGACAAAUAUUUAUUAAUUAUGGAAGCCUUGUCCGAAUUUGGUACACAUGUAUAACUCUCUCUUUUGCUGGUUGUACAGAGAUCUUUAUUCUCUUUGUUUUCAGUUGUUAUUUUCUUUGCCUUAUUCUUAAGCCUAACAAGGAGCCCUUCAGGAUAACCCAGCUUUUUGAAAGUUGAUAUGAUAUAUCAUAUUUCUUGCUCUAGGAAGUUGUUGCUGCAAAUUCUGAACGCUCUUAAGUAAAAACCAAUAAUCACAUCAGAUUUGACUCUCAUGCUGUGGGCUGAAAGGUAGUGAAUGAAAUCGUCCUUAUUGGACAUUCAUUCACUUGUUAAUAAUAACAGCGUAGUGUACAGCAUACCAUGCAAAGGUUGUACAAAGCAGUACAUAGGAGAAACAGGCAGGGGACUUAAAACAAGAAUAGCAGAGCAUAGGAAAGAUGUUUUAAAAUGCAACACAUCAAACUCCCUUGUAUUGCACAUAGAAAAAUGUAAACACCUACCAAAAUGGGAAGAGGCUAAGAAAUUAAAGUUGGAUUGAAGAAAAGAAUAAGAAAAGCUAUAGAGGCAGCCCUCAUAACAACUAGGGGAGUCAUUAACCACAGAGAAGGUUUUAUCAGGUGGGCGGGUAAUUCCGCCAGAUUGGCCCUCAGGUCAGGUACAAGGAAAAUCCCCAGUAAAGGCUCGUCACGUAGGCGGAUAAUGCCACUUGACUAGGAAAAUAAAAUUAGGUGAGGUACACGCCAGGAUGGCAAUACUCUGUACGAAUGUCAAAUGAGAAAAUUUUGUAUGUUGUUAUAAAUAGUGUGUUUUCACUCAUGUAAAUCAGUCUCUCUGAGGAUGGCUAUUCAGCCAAAAUGUUAGAGAUUAAAAGAAUCCUAACUCCUCCCUGGGUUUUUAUCCCCCUUCCUAAACCCAACUACUUGUCAACAUGAACAGUUCAUAUCCCAGAGUACUUAAGGAAUGCAAAGAAGUUAUUAGUGAACUGUUAGUUUCUGCCUUUAGGAAAUCACUUGAGAUACCGGUAAUGUGGAGGCAAGUUUAAGCUUUAAGAAAGGAGAUUUAAGCUUAACUUCUGUUGUAGAUAAAAUAAUGAAGUCUGUAAUAGUAAAGAACAUUAGGGAACAUUUAGACAAACAUAACUUGAUAAAUUGGUCACAGCAUAGCUUCACAAAGGGGAAGUCUUACCUGACAAACUUGUCAAGAUUUUACUGUAAAGUUUACAUGGCAGGAGAUAAUGCUGAUAGUUAUGACAUCCUAUAUCUGGACUUCAGUGAAGUGUUUGACAAGGUACCCCAUCAGAGGCUCCUGAGAAAGGUUAGGGCACACGGAAUAGAUGGGAAGGUGUUAGGGUGGAUAAGGUUGUGGCUAAGUGACAGGCGACAGAGUCAUAAUAAACAGCUCUAAAUCGGAGUGGGAUUAAGUAAUUAGUGGGGUGCCACAGGGAUCAGUAUAAGGGCCAUUGAUGUUUUUAAUAUACAUCAGUGACUUGGAUAGUUGAAUUAGUUGUGACGUUAGUAAAUUUGAGGAUGACACGAA